RNAcentral lists this ribosomal RNA (822 nucleotides) under uncultured bacterium. RNAcentral describes it as "bacterial SSU rRNA". It matches the Rfam family "Bacterial small subunit ribosomal RNA", at positions 56 to 890 of the family's 1533-position model. The record is from RNAcentral.
UGCAGUCGAGCGAGGUCCAUCCGGUGGCAACACCGGGGAAGACCUAGCGGCGAACGGGUGAGUAACACGUGAGGAACCUGUCCCGAAGACCGGGAUAACACCGGGAAACCGGUGCUAAUACCGGAUACCCUUCUCUGGUCGCAUGGCCUAGGAAGGAAAUGGAUUCCGCUUCGGGAGGGUCUCGCGGGCUAUCAGCUUGUUGGUGGGGUAAUGGCCUACCAAGGCGACGACGGCUAGCUGGUCUGAGAGGACGACCAGCCACACUGGGACUGAGACACGGCCCAGACUCCUACGGGAGGCAGCAGUGGGGAAUCUUGCGCAAUGGGCGAAAGCCUGACGCAGCAACGCCGCGUGGGGGAUGAAGGCCUUCGGGUUGUAAACCCCUUUCAGCAGGAACGAAACUGACGGUACCUGCAGAAGAAGCCCCGGCCAACUACGUGCCAGCAGCCGCGGUAAUACGUAGGGGGCGAGCGUUGUCCGGAAUUAUUGGGCGUAAAGAGCUCGUAGGCGGCUUGGCAAGUCGGGUGUGAAACCUCCAGGCUCAACCUGGAGACGCCACUCGAGACUGCUAUGGCUAGAGUCCGGUAGGGGACCACGGAAUUCCUGGUGUAGCGGUGAAAUGCGCAGAUAUCAGGAGGAACACCGGUGGCGAAGGNGGUGGUCUGGNCGGCACUGACGCUGAGGANCGAAAGCGUGGGUAGCAAACAGGAUUAGAUACCCUGGUAGUCCACGCCGUAAACAUUGNCACUAGGNGUGGGGNCUUAUCAACGGGCUCCGUGCCGUAGCUACGCAUUAAGUGCCCCGNCUGGGGANUACGGCGCA